Molecule: ribosomal RNA, 432 nt
Filed under: Felimare ruthae
Lineage: Eukaryota; Metazoa; Mollusca; Gastropoda; Nudibranchia; Chromodorididae
Description: partial 16S ribosomal RNA
Rfam family: Bacterial large subunit ribosomal RNA
Source: RNAcentral
AGCUUUAGGAAUUUCUCUAAGGUUAUACCUGCCCAAUGUUCAAAGAAUUAAUGGCCGCGGUACUUUGACCGUGCUAAGGUAGCGUAAUCAAUUGACUCCUAAUUAGGGUCAGGAAUGAAUGGAGUUACGUGAUCUAACUGUCUCAAAAAUAUUUAAUUGAAGUUACUAUAUAGAUGAAAAAGUCUAUAAAAAGAAAAAAGACGAGAAGACCCUUAGAGUUUUACUUAAUGUGGUUGUGUAUCAUACUAGUUUUGUUGGGGCAACAUGAGAACAAUUAACCUCUCUAUUAACACUAACCGAUUGUAAUAAAUGUGUAUAAACUACCUUAGGGAUAACAGCAUUAUGUAAAAUAAGUUUGUGACCUCGAUGUUGGACUGGGAAAUUUAAAGGCUAGCCGUCUUUAAAGAAAGUUCUGUUCGAACUGUUAUUCCC